ACGAACGCUGGCGGCGUGCCUAAUACAUGCCAGUAGAACGCACAGUUUAUACCGUAGCUUGCUACACCAUAGACUGUGAGUUGCGAACGGGUGAGUAACGCGUAGGUAACCUGCCUGGUAGCGGGGGAUAACUAUUGGAAACGAUAGCUAAUACCGCAUAAUAUUAAUUAUUGCAUGAUAAUUAAUUGAAAGGUGCAAUUGCACCACUACCAGAUGGACCUGCGUUGUAUUAGCUAGUAGGUGAGGUAACGGCUCACCUAGGCGACGAUACAUAGCCGACCUGAGAGGGUGAUCGGCCACACUGGGACUGAGACACGGCCCAGACUCCUACGGGAGGCAGCAGUAGGGAAUCUUCGGCAAUGGACGAAAGUCUGACCGAGCAACGCCGCGUGAGUGAAGAAGGGUUUCGGAUCGUAAAGCUCUGUUGUAAGAGAAGAACGGGUGUGAGAGUGGAAAGUUCACACUGUGACGGUAGCUUACCAGAAAGGGACGGCUAACUACGUG
This 504-nucleotide ribosomal RNA is filed under the name uncultured bacterium. Its description in RNAcentral is "partial 16S ribosomal RNA". It matches the Rfam family "Bacterial small subunit ribosomal RNA", at positions 29 to 507 of the family's 1533-position model. The record is from RNAcentral.